CAGGCCUAACACAUGCAAGUCGAACGAGCCUUUCGGGGCUAGUGGCGGACGGGUGAGUAACGCGUGGGAACGUGCCCUAAGGUUCGGAACAACUGAGGGAAACUUCAGCUAAUACCGGAUGUGCCCGGAAGGGGAAAGAUUUAUCGCCUUAGGAGCGGCCCGCGUCUGAUUAGCUAGUUGGUGGGGUAAAGGCCCACCAAGGCUUCGAUCAGUAGCUGGUCUGAGAGGAUGGCCAGCCACACUGGGACUGAGACACGGCCCAGACUCCUACGGGAGGCAGCAGUGGGGAAUCUUGCGCAAUGGGCGAAAGCCUGACGCAGCCAUGCCGCGUGGAUGAUGAAGGUCUUAGGAUUGUAAAAUCCUUUCAGCGGGGACGAUAAUGACGGUAUCCGCAGAAGAAGCCCCGGCUAUCAUGGUGCCAGCAGCCGCGGUUAA
This 435-nucleotide ribosomal RNA is filed under the name uncultured bacterium. RNAcentral's name for it is "bacterial SSU rRNA". It matches the Rfam family "Bacterial small subunit ribosomal RNA", at positions 43 to 524 of the family's 1533-position model. The record is from RNAcentral.